Molecule: unclassified non-coding RNA, 208 nt
Filed under: uncultured Sebacinaceae
Lineage: Eukaryota; Fungi; Basidiomycota; Agaricomycetes; Sebacinales; Sebacinaceae
Description: sequence contains ITS2
Source: RNAcentral
GUACUCUCACACUCUCUGAUCCUUUGGAUUCGGGGAGCGGUGGACUUGGGUGUUUGCUGCUUUUCCUUGUGGCUCACCUCAAAUGCAUUAGUGCAUCUCCUGGUUGGACAUAGUACGGCGUGAUAAGUGUCUUCGCCGGCACCUCCUCACAGAGGGUGGCCGAUCGGGAGCUCUGUGCUUUCAAACCGUCUUCGGACAAUCUCUGACA